Molecule: ribosomal RNA, 956 nt
Filed under: Synechocystis sp. ENCB-CH13
Lineage: Bacteria; Bacillati; Cyanobacteriota; Cyanophyceae; Synechococcales; Merismopediaceae
Description: bacterial SSU rRNA
Rfam family: Bacterial small subunit ribosomal RNA
Source: RNAcentral
CGCAAUGGGCGAAAGCCUGACGGAGCAAUAUCGCGCGAGGGCCGAAGGUCCUUGGAUUGUAAACCUCUUUUAUCAGGGAAGAAGUUCUGACGGUACCUGAUGAAUAAGCAUCGGCUAACUCCGUGCCAGCAGCCGCGGUAAUACGGAGGAUGCAAGCGUUAUCCGGAAUUAUUGGGCGUAAAGCGUCCGUAGGUGGUUAUGCAAGUCUGCCGUUAAAGAAUGGAGCUUAACUCCAUAGGAGCGGUGGAAACUGCAAGACUAGAGUACAGUAGGGGUAGCAGGAAUUCCCAGUGUAGCGGUGAAAUGCGUAGAUAUUGGGAAGAACAUCGGUGGCGAAAGCGUGCUACUGGGCUGAAACUGACACUGAGGGACGAAAGCUAGGGUAGCGAAAGGGAUUAGAUACCCCUGUAGUCCUAGCCGUAAACGAUGGAUACUAGGCGUGGCUUGUAUCGACCCGAGCCGUGCCGAAGCUAACGCGUUAAGUAUCCCGCCUGGGGAGUACGCACGCAAGUGUGAAACUCAAAGGAAUUGACGGGGGCCCGCACAAGCGGUGGAGUAUGUGGUUUAAUUCGAUGCAACGCGAAGAACCUUACCAAGGCUUGACAUCCCUGGAAUCCUGCGGAAACGUGGGAGUGCCUUAGGGAGCCAGGAGACAGGUGGUGCAUGGCUGUCGUCAGCUCGUGUCGUGAGAUGUUGGGUUAAGUCCCGCAACGAGCGCAACCCUCGUUUUUAGUUGCCAUCAUUAAGUUGGGCACUCUAGAGAGACUGCCGGUGACAAACCGGAGGAAGGUGGGGAUGACGUCAAGUCAUCAUGCCCCUUACGCCUUGGGCUACACACGUACUACAAUGGUCGGGACAACGGGCAGCGAGCUCGCGAGAGUAAGCGAAUCCCAUCAAACCCGGCCUCAGUUCAGAUUGUUGUCUGCAAGGCGCCGGCAUGAAGUACCAAUCGCUAG